Molecule: ribosomal RNA, 372 nt
Filed under: uncultured organism
Description: bacterial SSU rRNA
Rfam family: Bacterial small subunit ribosomal RNA
Source: RNAcentral
CGAAGGGUGCAAGCGUUGUUCGGAUUUAUUGGGCGUAAAGCGCGCGUAGGCGGACCUGCAAGUCAGAUGUGAAAUCUCGGGGCUCAACCCCGAAACUGCGUCUGAAACUACAGGUCUAGAAUCUUGGAGGGGGAAGGGGAAUAUCGCAUGUAGGGGUAAAAUCCGUAGAUAUGCGAUGGAACACCAGAGGCGAAGGCGCCUUCCUGGACAAGUAUUGACGCUGAGGCGCGAAAGCGUGGGGAUCAAACAGGAUUAGAUACCCUGGUAGUCCACGCUGUAAACGAUGAACACUAGGUAUUGGAGGAUUUGACCCCUUCAGUGCCGUAGCUAACGCGUUAAGUGUUCCGCCUGGGAAGUACGGUCGCAAGACUA